This 340-nucleotide long non-coding RNA is filed under the name Triticum aestivum (bread wheat). RNAcentral's name for it is "long non-coding RNA (TAES_LNC025750)". Lineage: Eukaryota; Viridiplantae; Streptophyta; Magnoliopsida; Poales; Poaceae. The record is from RNAcentral.
AUACAUCAUCUAACAUAAGGCUGUGAUGUUGCACAAAUUAGUAGGGGCUGCCAAGUCUGGCAUAUUACAACCAAAAACAUAAGGCAAUAAUUGGUGCCAUGUUGCACACAAAGUAAUGCGUGCCAAGUCUGACAUAUUACAACCAAAAGCAUAGAGAACAUAGAAGAUGAUGCACAACACUAGAUCUUCCUUCUCUUCGGGGUCAACUUCCUAGCUUUCGAGGUUGAGGCCAUGUCAUAUGCCAUCGUGGUGUCCUUCACAGUUGGGGUAGGUUGCUGCCAUGCCUCAUCAGCCAAUGCCAUAGCCAACAUCCUGCAUGUGUUGAGAAAUAUAAGAUUAG